RNAcentral lists this ribosomal RNA (71 nucleotides) under Pseudohaptolina arctica. RNAcentral describes it as "partial 18S ribosomal RNA". Lineage: Eukaryota; Haptophyta; Prymnesiales; Prymnesiaceae. The record is from RNAcentral.
CAAGAUAUCCAUCGACAAGAGUUGUGUGUUUGUUGGUUCUUGAGAGGCUACGCAAGAAAGGAAGGAUCAAU